Conger conger (European conger) is the source of this 535-nucleotide long non-coding RNA. RefSeq lists it as uncharacterized. The record is from RefSeq and is a predicted model, not a curated record. The transcript is spliced from 2 exons. Lineage: Eukaryota; Metazoa; Chordata; Actinopteri; Anguilliformes; Congridae.
UAAACAUGCACUAACAUUAGUUAACCAGGGUCCUUUUGCAGGUAAAGAAGAACCGGACGUCACCUUCAUAAGUGGGGAAGAAUUAACGUGGCAGUUCACGACUUAAGUGCCAAUGCAAAAAUCAGUCUUAUCGGCCAUCCCAUCAGCUGCCCUGCAGUGGCUCAGGUACGUGACCGGGACCCGGAAGAUUGCUGGUUCAAGCCCCCUGGUGUAGCCACGAUAAGAUCUGCACAGCUGUUGGGCCCUUGAGCAAGGCCCUUAACCCCACAUUACUCCCUGCGUGUGGCACUGAGGCUGCCCACUGCUCCCAAGUAACCAGGAUGGGUCACAUGCAGAGGACACAUUACCCCACAGGGUUCAAUAAUGUAUAUCUUCUUCUUCUUCUUCUUCUUCUUCUUCUUCUCUGUGCCCUUGGCUCUGGGGCUCAGUAUAGGCUGCGGGACAAGCUUACACUCCUGAGUGAAAUCACGUCCAGUCAGCGUGUUCGCCGUGCUGUCUGUUUGAAGAACCAAAUUAAAGUUUUUAAGACACCUCA